Molecule: non-coding RNA, 352 nt
Organism: Shewanella pealeana ATCC 700345
Lineage: Bacteria; Pseudomonadati; Pseudomonadota; Gammaproteobacteria; Alteromonadales; Shewanellaceae
Rfam family: Bacterial RNase P class A
About the family: Ribonuclease P (RNase P) is a ubiquitous endoribonuclease, found in archaea, bacteria and eukarya as well as chloroplasts and mitochondria.
Source: Rfam
CGAGUUGGCUAGACAGUUGCCGCGUUCGCAAGAACGGGGAGGAAAGUCCGGGCUUCAAAGAGCAGGGUACCAGGUAACGCCUGGGCGGUGUGAACCGACGACAAGUGCAGCAGAGAGGAGACCGCCUUCUUGAUUUAUCAAGGAGGUAAGGGUGAAAGGGUGCGGUAAGAGCGCACCGUGCGGCUAGUAAUAGUUCGUAGCAAGGUAAACUCUACCCGAAGCAAGACCAAAUAGGGUCCCGUAUGGCGCUGCUCGCGUUGGGACCGGGUAGGUCGCUUGAGCCUGUGAGCGAUUGCAGGCCUAGAUGAAUAACUGUCCACGACAGGACCCGGCUUAUCGGCCAACUCACCUA